This 599-nucleotide ribosomal RNA is filed under the name Rothia dentocariosa. RNAcentral's name for it is "bacterial SSU rRNA". It matches the Rfam family "Bacterial small subunit ribosomal RNA", at positions 366 to 975 of the family's 1533-position model. Lineage: Bacteria; Bacillati; Actinomycetota; Actinomycetes; Micrococcales; Micrococcaceae. The record is from RNAcentral.
GCACAAUGGGCGCAAGCCUGAUGCAGCGACGCCGCGUGAGGGAUGACGGCCUUCGGGUUGUAAACCUCUGUUAGCAUCGAAGAAGCGAAAGUGACGGUAGGUGCAGAGAAAGCGCCGGCUAACUACGUGCCAGCAGCCGCGGUAAUACGUAGGGCGCGAGCGUUGUCCGGAAUUAUUGGGCGUAAAGAGCUUGUAGGCGGUUGGUCGCGUCUGCUGUGAAAGGCUGGGGCUUAACCCUGGUUUUGCAGUGGGUACGGGCUAACUAGAGUGCAGUAGGGGAGACUGGAAUUCCUGGUGUAGCGGUGGAAUGCGCAGAUAUCAGGAGGAACACCGAUGGCGAAGGCAGGUCUCUGGGCUGUAACUGACGCUGAGAAGCGAAAGCAUGGGGAGCGAACAGGAUUAGAUACCCUGGUAGUCCAUGCCGUAAACGUUGGGCACUAGGUGUGGGGGACAUUCCACGUUUUCCGCGCCGUAGCUAACGCAUUAAGUGCCCCGCCUGGGGAGUACGGCCGCAAGGCUAAAACUCAAAGAAAUUGACGGGGGCCCGCACAAGCGGCGGAGCAUGCGGAUUAAUUCGAUGCGACGCGAAGAACCUUACC